CGACAAUGGGCGAGCUGACGCAGCACGCCGCGUGGAUGAUGAAGGCCUUCGGGACGUAAAGUCCUUUUGCAGAGGAAAAAAAAAAAGGGUUGGGGUGUGAGGUACUCUGCGUUUUCACCAGGGCGCCUCUGGGCGAACAAUCGCGGGGAACAUGUUCCCAACCUUUGGCAAAUUUACUGGGAUAAAACCCGUAUGGGUUCACAAAAGGGAUCCCCCGAAUAUUGGGUACCUUGUUAAACCAGGUCCAAUACUUUUGAAAUGGGCGGAGUUUCCGA
RNAcentral lists this ribosomal RNA (275 nucleotides) under uncultured Chlorobium sp. RNAcentral describes it as "partial 16S ribosomal RNA". Lineage: Bacteria; Pseudomonadati; Chlorobiota; Chlorobiia; Chlorobiales; Chlorobiaceae. The record is from RNAcentral.